ACUCCUGCGGGAGGCAGCAGUGGGGAAUUUUGGACAAUGGGCGAAAGCCUGAUCCAGCCAUGCCGCGUGCAGGAUGAAGGCCUUCGGGUUGUAAACUGCUUUUGUACGGAACGAAACGGCCUUUUCUAAUAAAGAGGGCUAAUGACGGUACCGUAAGAAUAAGCACCGGCUAACUACGUGCCAGCAGCCGCGGAAUACGUAGGGUGCAAGCGUUAAUCGGAAUUACUGGGCGUAAAGCGUGCGCAGGCGGUUAUGUAAGACAGUUGUGAAAUCCCCGGGCUCAACCUGGGAACUGCAUCUGUGACUGCAUAGCUAGAGUACGGUAGAGGGGGAUGGAAUUCCGCGUGUAGCAGUGAAAUGCGUAGAUAUGCGGAGGAACACCGAUGGCGAAGGCAAUCCCCUGGACCUGUACUGACGCUCAUGCACGAAAGCGUGGGGAGCAAACAGGAUUAGAAACCCCAGUAGUCCCAUGAU
This 474-nucleotide ribosomal RNA is filed under the name uncultured organism. RNAcentral's name for it is "partial 16S ribosomal RNA". It matches the Rfam family "Bacterial small subunit ribosomal RNA", at positions 335 to 801 of the family's 1533-position model. The record is from RNAcentral.